GAUUAGGCCCUAUGAUGGUGUCCCCUGAAUAGAUAUGUGGGCACAGUUGACAAUGGGCUUUGUUGCAAGGAUAGGUUACUGGGUUAGUGGUUCUGUUGUGAAGAAGUUAAAAGAAAGAAAGUGAGAGGUUAACUCUGUAGUUACUGGAGGAAAUUAAGCAGUGAAACUUUGUACAAAUGUUAAAAAGGGUGUUAUGAAAAAAAAAAUUCUUUGGAGAAAGGGCACAUUUCUCUGGAAGAAUUUCUGUAAAUAAUCCAGGCAAAAGGUUAUUUAAGUGAAAUCAUUUAACUAUGAACAAGUUAGUCAAAUUUGCUAAAAAAACACUCCUGGUGUGUACAAUCUUUGUUUUAUAAGUUUAAGAUGAGUUGGUGUUGUUUUAAAAUUGUAAAACCAAAAAAUACUUUUGCCAGACAAAAGAAACUAGUGUUGUUUAAUUUUGGUAUUUGGCAUUUAAUCCUUAAGGUGACUUAUCGCUUUACAAGAUUUAAAAUGUUUUUAAAUAAAGGCCAAAGUUGUGGCUGCAGCAGGGCAGUCAAAGCCAGGAAAAUGGAAAAAGAUUUUAAAUCUGUUUUGGUAACAAAUAGCAGAUAAAAGCUGUAGUCAGUGCCCCACACUAAGUCUUAAGGUGGCUUCGUGUAAUCAACGGUCACUUUGCCAAAGGGAAGCCAAAAUGGGUUGUGUUUUCCUUUUAAAUCAAUGUGUGUUUAAAAGCAGAAGAUAAAAGUUAAUUGUGUCCUUAAAGUCUGUAAGCGGCUGAUAACUUUGAAUCCAAAAGCAAGCUGAGAAUGUCUGUGUUAAUGCAAAUCACCUACAUAAUAAAGAAAAGGAGUACUUGUGGCACCUUAGAGACUAACAAAUUUAUUUGAGCAUAAGCUUUCGUGAGUGAGCUACAGCUCACUUCAUUGGAUGCAUUCGGUGGAAACCUGACCUGCCUAUAAAACAAAUACAGAAAAUCAUGGGAGUAAUUCCUCAGUUUUGCCUGCAAACAGCAAGGGUAUUUGUAAAGAAAGGAGUAUUUUAAGCAAUACUGCCAACAGUGUGUAAUCUGCCAGCAACAUAGUGUUGGUAAAGCUGUCAAGGUUAGGCAGGCAGCACAUCCCCCUUCCUGGGGACCUUUUGUAAAUAUUCAGACUGAUUCAAAUGUUUAAAUGUUGUAAUUGUAAGUAUGUGUUAGUUUUAGUAAUGUAUUUCCCUGUUUAAAAAAAAAAAGGCAGAUGCCAAAACUGUUGUAAAACUUUGUUUAAAAAUUUCAUACCAUGAUUUGGCAUACCUGUGAGUAGCAACAGUGAUAGUGGACCUAAUGUUAUUGGACAAAUCAUAACAAGUUAUGUGCAGCUUUACGGAUCCAACACAAUCUCCACUGCCCCCACUACCUGCAGUCUGCCGAGACAGUAAAACGUCAAAAUGGGAUUUUAAAAAAUAAACUGGCCAAGAUCCGUGCUAAAACAAAUUUAAAGUGGCCAAAUGCCCUUCCAUUAGCAUUAAUGAAUAUGAGGGCCACUCCCAAUCAAAAGACUGGACUCAGCCCACAUGAAAUUCUAACAGGGCACCCGAUGCAACUAUUGGCUGCACCCACACUGGCCCUGGCUCAGAUGGACAGUCAUUCAAUGGAUGACACAAUGCUUAAUUAUUGUCAGGCUCUAACGAAAUCUGUUAGGUCUUUUUUAUAUACAGCAGCCCUGCCGCUCACUGAAACCAGGAGACUGGAUCUACAUAGAGAUCCAUCAGCGAGGAACUGCCCUGACCCCAUGCUGAAAGACCCUUAUCAAGUCCUGUUAAUUAUCAACACUGCUGUGAAGUGCAGAGAAUUGACUACCUGCCCAUGUUUCUCACUGUAAUGGCUCCCCGACUGACGAUCGGUCUAUCUUUCCUUCUGGCAUUGUUGCUCCUUCUGGACAGCAGGAGUGAAGGACAAGGUGAAAAGCCGGUAACCUCUCCCUUAUCCACUGACAGAACUACUGUGCAUUUGGACUUUGCUAGAAGAACCAAACCAUUACAGGGUGAUGUGCUAGUAACCUCUCCCCUGCAUAAUGCUAAACCACGGCUCUUCCAAGAAAGAAGAAGGAACACUCGCUCUGCUGAAACCGCCAAAGUCCAGGGAUUCCUGACUACAAAAGACAUUAAGAAUUGGCCCUGGUGGAAAAGAGGAAGUAUUGUUAAUUGGCAGGGAGAGAAUUGUGGGGACCGCACUUGGAAAUGUGGAGUUGAGUGGUGGGUGGUUUUUUUCUGGGGGCUGGGCUCUGUGCUUACUGACAGAAUGCACUGCCCUCCCUAAUUGGCUUCCAAAGAAUAAAUACGAAAAACAGCUUGCUGCCCCUGACAUUACUCACACCAUUCCCUCCACCUCGGUCACCACCCCUAAAAUUUACCCGAAUACAGAUAAUACCGUAUAUUCUCAUGAAACCCAAUGGCCCGGGCCUUCACAUCUUAGUGAUUUACUAAAAUUUUGUUCAGAAAAAAUAAUUUUUUUUCAGUUCAGAAUAGUUCAUAUGAGCAAACAAUUGAAUGGAAAACAAAUGGGUCGGUAAAAAUAGAAAUAUAUAAUAUUACUACAAAUGAGCCCCAGGAAUCAAAAAUUAAGAUGAAUGGGUUCUAUGAUGGGGUAAAUAUGAUGGCAGCUCCUGAACUCCACAGUGUAUUGGACGAAGUAGGCCCUUACUGUUAUUUGAUCACCCAACUGGUAAAUAAUCAAACAAAUACCCAAAAAGUUUGUUCUGCUGCUGAAAAAAAAUUACCUGUACUGAAAAUGUGCCGGUCACUGAUCAUUUGACCUGUACCCUGUUGUAAUAUACCCCUUCUUAUGCCAUUCAUGCCGAUGCCUCUCAGCCUACUGUGAAGGUGUUUAGCCAAUCGAUGUGGUGUGAUACUUCACAGAGGAGAGAUGUGUUAGGACAUUGGUGGACUGUCAUUAAUGCUACAUUAGGGACCAUUAAAUUCACAUUGCCCUUAUCCAGUUUUUAAAUUACCUCUACAUAUCCAAAUUGCUCCGAAGGGGCUGCCAUCAGGUUAGCACAGCAAAGGGGCUGGGUUUCCCCUAGAAAGAAAAGGGACUUGGCUGGACACCUAUGGGAUGGUGAAAAUAGCAUAGUGGCAAUCUGGAAUAUCCAUAAAGGUCAGCAACAAGAGGAAAAAUUAGGACAGUUGGAAAAAGCCACGGGCCCUAUUGCUGGAGCACAGCUAGCUCAGGUUCAGGCUGGUGUUGGUGAAUUAUACGUUAUCUCCACCCUUAGUGCAAUGACCCAGAAGCUUAUAACAGAUAUGGUGCUUAAUAUCGCUGGGGCUGGGAAGGCAUUGCAGUGGGACCUGGCUUGUUCGGGAGAUCCAAGAUUUUCUAAAUAACCAGCUAAAGGACAUUCAGAAAGACCUCAGACAUCAGGGGUGGCCCUCGACCCUUACAGCCACCUCGGGAGUACCAUCUGAUCUGUGGCCAGGGAGACAUACUUGAAGAUUCUCUGAGUGGAAAUGCAGAUGUUCGCAGUGUUCCUUCCAAGCAUACAGGCCGGUCGGAGGGACGUGGCUUCCACAUACUGAAUCCUGCUGGGUCCAUGGGGAGGAUGCAUGUGGGAUUGGGAAAUUGGGAAGACAUUUGGAUUGGGAAGACAUUUGGGAAAUUAAACCACCUGGUAUGCCUAACCAAUUUGUAGUCAGUGCUCCUGAAAUAACACCCGAUAUCUGGAUAGGAAUAGAAAAUCAAUGGACACUCUGGCCGCUAGAACCCCACAACUUCAGUGUGUACCUAAACUGAAGCCAGGAAAAAGUUGUCACUGUUCAUGAUAACAUUUGUUGGGAGGGGAUGGAACGUGGGACAACCCUGACAGUUCAUCUACUUUUCCAAGCUAAUAAUAGCUGUGUGCAUGUUAAGACCACUACCUUGAAUGAUGUACAUUUUAAUCUUACCACUGCUACAGGAAGCCAUAUCAUACAUUGGCCUGCAGAUAAAAUUCUACAAUUAGCCCUUAGGUUCCAAAUACCCUUUAACUGGACUACUUUAGUACCUGAUCAAUUCCAAAAUUUGCUUUCAAUUCUACCAGAGAUUCAGAAAAUUUUGGACCUACAGGGACAGAUUCACAUACUCCAAAAUAUAUAUCAAGUUGAAAAGAAUGCCUUUCAUACAGCCUAUAGGGAGUCUACCUUAUGUAUUAAGUAUGAUGCUUUGUGUUUUAUGACUAAGACUAUUCAGCAAUCUCCACCCCAUUGUUUUAUUGUCAUAGGAAUGUCGUUUUUAUUACUGUUUGGUAUGGGGUUAUGUUAUUGCUGUUGUAGUAGAUGUGUUUAUCAUUGCCUGCCUGGUCCUAGACCAAUUAAGCUCAAUGUAAAGGAACAAGUGGCACUAAUGAUUCUCAAUAAACUCUAUGGUAACAGGAGACAAGAGGCAGCAAUGAAUGUUUAUGAGGAAAUGCAGGUAGUACGUGAGGAAGAGAGAGAGGAAAUUAAUAAAUUAAUGACCAUGGAGGUAUGAUAGACUAAAGUGAGGCCGAAGAGGCCUCAAAGGGGGGAACUGUGAGGGAAAAUUAACAGGACAUAAAACUCAGGUCAACGCCCUGACUUUGGUCAAGCUUGCCUGCAGGCCGUAAACUGAGAUCCUGCUUGCUUAUGUGCGUCAAGGGAUAGGAGAAGUCACAGUGGAAAGUCCCCCAAACGGAACAAUGGUUUUCUGUGCAUAAGGGGUAUGAAGGGGCAGUAUGGAAAAGUCCCCAGGCAGAACAAAUUUGCAACAGUCAAGCUUAUGACAUAUAUAACCGCAACAGUUGUGUUAGAAAGGUCGCUGACCGCAAAAGAACAGACAGUGAAUAACAGGAAGGGCCUAGUGGGAGAGACGCUUGUUUUUGCUUUUGACCAGUGUUAAUUUUGCAAUGUAUUCCAAAUAAGGUAAUUAAUACGGAUAUAUGUGUAAUUUGUCUGUGGUUUUAAGCUUUAAAAAGCUGUGUGUGCUUUGCAUCGGGGGGCAGCUACUUAGAGCUGUUACCCCUCUGCGCUUGUAAUCAAUGAAGGAGCCUCAGGCUUGUUCUGAUCCAAACACAACGUGUGGUUAAUUUUUCCACGACAGGAAGAUGUGGCUGUAUUAUCGCCUGAUUUUUCUAAAUUUACAUAUAAACUUAAAAUAUGGCUUUAA
Long non-coding RNA from Chelonia mydas (Green sea turtle), 5113 nucleotides. RefSeq lists it as uncharacterized. The record is from RefSeq and is a predicted model, not a curated record. NCBI's taxonomy places the organism in Eukaryota, Metazoa, Chordata, Testudines, Cheloniidae. The transcript has 2 exons.